RNAcentral lists this unclassified non-coding RNA (85 nucleotides) under Pseudomonas chlororaphis. Lineage: Bacteria; Pseudomonadati; Pseudomonadota; Gammaproteobacteria; Pseudomonadales; Pseudomonadaceae. The record is from RNAcentral.
UAGGAGCGAGGCUUGCCCGCGAUAGGCUCUACGCGGUGUGCCUGCAAUACCGCAGCGCCUACAUCGCGGGCAAGCCUCGCUCCUA